CACUGCGGUAGGUACGUGAAAGUUGGCAAGAGCGUAAAUCCUAAGAAUUCUCAUCACAAGAGAAACAAUUUUUUCUCUCUUCCUUCCUUCCUUCCUUCCUUCCUUCCUUCCUUCCUUCCUUCCUUCUUCUUUCCUUCCCUCCUUCCUUCCUUCUUCCUCCUUUCUUUCUUUCUUUCUUUCUUUCUUUCUUUCUUUCUUUCUUUCUUUCUUUCUUUCCUUCCUUCCUUCUUUCUUCCUUCCUCCUUCAUUUCUUCCUUCCUUCCUUCCUUCCUCCUUCCUUCCUUCCUUCCUUCCUUCUUCCUUCUUCCUUCCUUCCUUCCUUCCUUCCUUCCUUCCUUCCUCCUUCCUUCUUCCUCCUUCCUUCUUCCUUCCUCCUCCUUCCUUCCUUCCUUCUUCCUUCCUUCCUUCCUUCCUUCCUUCUUCCUUCCUUCCUUCCUCUUCCUUCCUCCUUCCUUCCUUCCUUCCUUCCUUAUUUCUUUUCUUUCUUUCUUUCUUUCUUCCUUCCUUCCUUCCUUCCUUCCUUCUUCCUCCUUCCUUCCUUCCUUCCUCCUCCUUCCUUCCUUCCUCCUUCCUUCCUUCCUCCUUCCUUCCUCCUUCCUUCCUUCCUUCCUUCUCCUUCCUUCCUUCUUCCUUCCUUCCUUCCUUCCUUCCUUCCUUCCUUCUCCUUCCUUCCUCCUUCCUCCUUCCUUCCUCUUCCUUCCUCCUCCUUCCUUCCUUCCUUCCUUCUUCCUUCCUCCUUCCUUCCUUCCUUAUUUCUUUUCUUUCUUUCUUCCUUCCUUCCUUUCUUCUUCUUUCUUUCUUUCUUUCUUCUUUCCUUCCUUCCUUCCUUCCUCUUCCUUCCUUCCUUUCUUCUUUCUUUCUUUCUUUCUUUCUUUCUUUCUUUCUUUCUGUAUCUAUAUCAGAUGGUGGAUGUUAACCAAUUGUGGUCAUCAUUUCACAAUAUAUGCAAGUCAAGUCACACUGUUCAAAAGCUUGAGCAGGGCUGUAUGUCAAUUAUAUCUCAAUAAAACUGGGUGGGGAGGGAGAAGUGCUUCUAGAAAAAUCUGA
Molecule: long non-coding RNA, 1047 nt
Filed under: Felis catus (domestic cat)
Lineage: Eukaryota; Metazoa; Chordata; Mammalia; Carnivora; Felidae
Description: lncRNA (ENSFCAG00000052592.1)
Source: RNAcentral